RNAcentral lists this ribozyme (77 nucleotides) under Crocodylus porosus (Australian saltwater crocodile). RNAcentral's name for it is "Mammalian CPEB3 ribozyme (ENSCPRG00005000784.1)". It matches the Rfam family "Mammalian CPEB3 ribozyme". Rfam says of the family: The mammalian CPEB3 ribozyme is a self cleaving RNA located in the second intron of the CPEB3 gene which belongs to a family of genes regulating messenger RNA polyadenylation. This ribozyme is highly conserved and found only in mammals. Lineage: Eukaryota; Metazoa; Chordata; Crocodylia; Crocodylidae. The record is from Rfam by way of RNAcentral.
AGUCACAAGUUUGAGGCCAUAGCAGACGUGUUCAUGGCACAGCCCUGUCAGAAUCCAAUGAAUGUGCACAUUUUGCU